This 430-nucleotide ribosomal RNA is filed under the name uncultured Sphingobacteriales bacterium. RNAcentral describes it as "bacterial SSU rRNA". It matches the Rfam family "Bacterial small subunit ribosomal RNA", at positions 952 to 1382 of the family's 1533-position model. Lineage: Bacteria; Pseudomonadati; Bacteroidota; Sphingobacteriia; Sphingobacteriales. The record is from RNAcentral.
CGAUGAUACGCGUAGGAACCUUACCUGGGCUUAAAUGUAGAGUGCUAUUUUAGAGAUAGAAAUUCCCUUCGGGGCUUUCUGCAAGGUGCUGCAUGGUUGUCGUCAGCUCGUGCCGUGAGGUGUCGGUUAAGUCCCAUAACGAGCGCAACCCUUAUCCAUUAGUUGCCAGCUGGUAAAGCAGGGGACUCUAGCGAAACUGCCACCGUAAGGUGAGAGGAAGGUGGGAUGACGUCAAAUCAGCACGGCCCUUAUGUCCAGGGCUACACACGUGUUACAAUGGCCGGCACAGAGGGCAGCUACCUGGUGACAGGAUGCUAAUCUCGAAAAACCGGUCUCAGUUCGGAUCGAAGUCUGCAACUCGACUUCGUGAAGCUGGAUUCGCUAGUAAUCGCGCAUCAGCCAUGGCGCGGUGAAUACGUUCCCGGGCCUU